CUCAGCCCUGGAUUCCAGCUGACCCCAUUUACUGAUCAUCACUGGACACAGAACACACACCAUGGAGUUGGGGUUCAGCUGGAUUUUCCUUGUUGCUAUUUUAAAAGGUGUCCAGUGUGAGGUGCAGCUGGUGGAGUCUGGGGAAGGCUUGGUGAAGACUGGCGGGUCCCUGAAACUCUCCUGUGCAGCCUCUGGAUUCACCUUCAGUGAUUACUGGAUGUACUGGUUCCGCCAGGCUCCAGGGAAGGGGCUGGAGUGGGUCUCACGCAUUAAAAACAAAGAUGAUAAUUAUGGAACAGAUUACAGUGCGUCUGUGAAAGACAGAUUCACUAUUUCCAGAGAUGACGCCAAAAGCAAUAUGUACCUGCAAAUGACAAGCCUGAGAGAGGAGGACACGGCCGUGUAUUACUGUGCAAGACACACA
Molecule: non-coding RNA, 424 nt
Organism: Castor canadensis (American beaver)
Lineage: Eukaryota; Metazoa; Chordata; Mammalia; Rodentia; Castoridae
Source: the annotation of a RefSeq genome assembly